Molecule: ribosomal RNA, 422 nt
Filed under: uncultured bacterium
Lineage: Bacteria
Description: bacterial SSU rRNA
Rfam family: Bacterial small subunit ribosomal RNA
Source: RNAcentral
UGAGGAAUAUUGGUCAAUGGGCGAGAGUCUGAACCAGCCAAAUCGCGUGAAGGAAGACUGCCCUACGGGUUGUAAACUUCUUUUGUACAGGAAUAAAAGACAUUACGUGUAAUGUAUUGCAUGUACUGUACGAAUAAGCAUCGGCUAACUCCGUGCCAGCAGCCGCGGUAAUACGGAGGAUGCGAGCGUUAUCCGGAUUUAUUGGGUUUAAAGGGUGCGCAGGCGGGAUUUUAAGUCAGCGGUGAAAUUUUCAGGCUCAACCUGAACACUGCCGUUGAAACUGGGAUUCUUGAGUAUGGAUGAAGUAGGCGGAAUUCGUUGUGUAGCUGUGACAUGCUUAGAUAUAACGAGGAACUCCGAUUGCGUAGGCAGCUUACUAAGCCAUAACUGACGCUCAAGCACGAAAGCGUGGGGAUCAAACA